UGCUAUAAAUAGGUGGAGGAGGACAGACACUCUUCACCCCAAAAUUAAAAGAAAAAAAGGCAGUACUAAUUAAUUAUCCAUCAUGGCUGUUCACAAGGAAGUUAAUUUCGUUGCUUACCUACUAAUUGUUCUCGGAUUAUUGGUACUUGUAAGCGCGAUGGAGCAUGUUGAUGCGAAGGCUUGCACUUUAGAAUGUGGUAAUCUUGGGUUUGGGAUAUGCCCACGUUCAGAAGGAAGUCCGGAAAAUCACAUAUGCACCAACUGUUGUGCAGGUUAUAAAGGUUGCAAUUAUUAUAGUGCAAAUGGGGCUUUCAUUUGUGAAGGACAAUCUGACCCAAAAAAACCAAAAGCAUGCCCCCUAAAUUGUGAUCCACAUAUUGCCUACUCAAAGUGUCCCCGUUCAGAAGGAAAAUCGCUAAUUUAUCCCACCGGAUGUACCACAUGCUGCACAGGGUACAAGGGUUGCUACUAUUUCGGUAAAAAUGGCAAGUUUGUAUGUGAAGGAGAGAGUGAUGAGCCCAAGGCAAAUAUGUACCCAGCAAUGUGACCCUAGACUUGUCCAUCUUCUGGAUUGGCCAACUUAAUUAAUGUAUGAAAUAAAAGGAUGCACACAUAGUGACAUGCUAAUCACUAUAAUGUGGGCAUCAAAGUUGUGUGUUAUGUGUAAUUGCUAGUUAUCUGAAUAAAAGAGAAAGAGAUCAUCCAUAUUUCUUUUCCUAAA
This is an RNA transcript of Solanum stenotomum, 721 nucleotides long. It is a transcript of the gene named proteinase inhibitor type-2 P303.51-like, with no coding region annotated. The transcript is spliced from 2 exons. The record is from RefSeq and is a predicted model, not a curated record. Lineage: Eukaryota; Viridiplantae; Streptophyta; Magnoliopsida; Solanales; Solanaceae.